AGAUUUUUUUUCCCUUCUCUCCAGUUUCGCAAACUGAACCGAGAGCCCAGAUCCCCAACUGAAUACAUCACUAGGCUGAAAACUGGUGCCCGUUAAACAAAACACGUGCCUCCCUCGCUUGCCUGCAGCGUCUCAGCUCGGAGUUCCUUGCUUUCAGCGCUACUGCUGAGGACUUCUCCCGUGGUAAAGGCUGACAAGGAAUUAACAAGAAGCAGAAUCGAGUAUCGGACACCAGACUUGACCCUACUGGAUCCUUAGCUGCUGCUAAUUACAGCUCACUGCACUAGAGGUUGCAACCAUUCUGCCCGUCUACGAAGAGCUGCCUGAGGCACAGCGGUGAUGCCAGCAGCCACCCAGGAAGCAAAUCGGUGGCAGCGCCGGGAAGACCGCCCACGCCUGCCAUCCCAGCGCGACCCACCAGGCCACGCCGAGUUACCGCUCAGCCGAACUGGAGCUGACACUUAUCAGCAAUUUUUCUGAGCCGAGAUGGAAGGUUAUAUUGGCCACUUAUCUGCAGCUUUGCCACGUCUGUCUCCAGAGUCUUGACACCAAUUGUGCUGCAUGUAUCAGGCAUUGAGACCACCCUACUGCCAUUGGCUGGCACUGCUCAGGAUAUGAAACACCUUUCAGGCGCCUAAGGCAAGUGUUCGCUGGCAGAUCUCAAUUAGUAGUGCAGUUGUGACCGCACCGUCGCGUGAGCCAGUAAAGGCUGUGUCGCCAGGUGUGUGAGACAGUCAUUUGCUCGCACAAGGGCACAUGGCUCCACUUAGAAGACCUUCUCAGGUAAGACAUGAACAAUUUUCCUUGGGCUCACGAGCAAGGGUGAAAAAUAUAUGUGCUGCUGCUUUCUCUUCAAUGUAAAGGACCAGCAAAGCCAUAUUCAGGUUCCAAGAAAGCACGUGCAAUUGUAGCAUCAAUUGAGUUUCUAUAUUAAACAUGUACAAAAAACCCCAGACUUAUUUCACUCUUGCAUUUAUGCUUGUCAUUGUUUUUUCUGCACUGCAAGCACACUUCCCCCUGAUAAAUCAUGGUUUGUUUUCUCCUGCAUUGUCUUUCAUGUGCCUUCUGUUUUCUUCCUGUGUCCUCAUCCCUUGUAGUCACUACAUCCCCAGCAGUAGACAUUUCUUUUUAUCUUGCUGGUAUCUUAACCUAAAUCUCUCUCUCUCCCUCCCUGUAUAUAGACGGAGCUUCCUAGCUCUUCCGAUAGAUAGAGAUCCCAGCCCCUGGUUAGAGAUCUCGUGCUACUUCUGUCUAGUCCUGUAUCUCUUCUCUAGCCCUGAUUGUAGCUAGAGAGAGAUCUUUCUAUCUUUUUAUACUGCUGAUAAACCUCUCUCUCUCUUGCCCACUGCACCUUGCAUUUAAUAGAAUAAAUGGAAGACAGGAGGGAAGUGUUUGCCCAAAUAGGAACUAGAAUCAGGGACACCUUUCUACAGUAGUAGCCAUCUGUCUGAGCCAUACAUUUCCCCAGCUUGUGCUUUUCUUCCCGGCCCCAUGCAUCUCUUGUUCUUGGUUUCCCAGAGGGCCAGCUUCAACCAGGAGGGCUGGAAAGAAGGCUGCUUAAUACCUCAUCGGUGACCUGAUGAAUUGUGCUAGGAAAUCAGAGAGAUGCAGGGAUCAAAUCUCCCCUGGGUGAGAUGGCCUAGAACCUGGGUCUCCUGCUUCUUGAAGCACGUGAAAUGAGGAAGAGAAACCUCUUCUCUGUCAAGCUUUGUAGGACAUAUCGAGCAGCUGAAAUGACUGGACAGCAAGUUGAUCUAAUUUAAAACAACAACUAAAAAAGGUGUGCUUCGAACGUUAAAUACGUUAAAUAGUAAAAUUGUAGCUUCUUUUUCAGUCUUGGGAAAAAGCAGUUGUUAAAUUAAAAAAUAUAACUAGACUGUUAAUUUUUAAGCUGUGCACAUAUGACUAGUUAAUAUGCUGGUAUGACGCUAGUACAGUUAGAAGGUCUAACACACCUACAGAGCAAGCUAAACAGUGUUAAUCUAACUCUUAUGGGCCAGCUCUGGCAGUUGAUCUAGAAGUUUAAAACUUAAUUUUUAUUUUUUUUUCCCAUUCAGUAGAGAAACUG
Long non-coding RNA from Alligator mississippiensis (American alligator), 2068 nucleotides. RefSeq lists it as uncharacterized. The transcript is spliced from 5 exons. NCBI's taxonomy places the organism in Eukaryota, Metazoa, Chordata, Crocodylia, Alligatoridae. The record is from RefSeq and is a predicted model, not a curated record.